CCUGGUUAAGCACACAUAGUUGAAACACAAGGAUUCAUGCAAGGAUCCCAGUUUGAGCCCUGGCUCCCCCUCUGCAGAGGGGUCUCUUUACAAGUGGUGAAGCAGGUCUUCAGGUCUCUCUUUCUUUCUCUCUUCCUCUCUCUCUGUGUGUGUGUGUGUGUGUGUCUUCCCCUCCACUCUCAAUUUCUCUCCAUUCUAUCCAAUAAAAUGGGAAAAAAUGGCUGCCAGGAGCAGUGAAUUCAUAGUGCUGGCAUUGAGCCCCAGCAAUAACCCUGGAGGCAAAAAAAAAAAAAAAAAAAACAGGGGUCAGGAAGGCAACUCAGGAUAGACUGUGGAACUUGUAUGCAUGCAAUUCCUGACACCAUGUAUGGUGGUACAGUGCCCUACUAGCUUGAUCUCUCUCAUCCAAAAGCACACACAGGAUGGAGAAAAAACAGAGUGGAGGUCCUGGUGCCUGAUGAUGGAGAAGGACCCUGCCUACGAAUGAGACUUUUGCAGAAAAUUGAGAAAUUUUACACAGGUGUCAACAACUGUAUUUGAGGCUUGGAGGUGGACAUAAGGGCAUAGAACUGAGGAAGAAAGAACCCUUCCAAGGAGCUGUUUUGAAAAGCACUUACCUGUUUUCUACUAAUGUGCAGAACAAAGGUUGUCAACUUCUAUGUCUCUGGCAUGAGCAUCAUAACAAGCUAAACUCUACAGGAGAUUUGGGACCCAUACCUCAUUUGCUUAAAGAGUGCCAUCUGAUGUCAGUGACCUGAACUGAAUUAAUUUUGUUAAUAAAACUGACUGAACUUA
This is a long non-coding RNA of Erinaceus europaeus (western European hedgehog), 795 nucleotides long. RefSeq lists it as uncharacterized. NCBI's taxonomy places the organism in Eukaryota, Metazoa, Chordata, Mammalia, Eulipotyphla, Erinaceidae. The record is from RefSeq and is a predicted model, not a curated record. The transcript has 3 exons.